UUUAUUGUGAAGAUGGAGAUCAGUAAGGAGUUCACAGUGUAUUUAACUCACAUCAGUUAUUCCGGUUACACUUCUCAUUUACAUUGAUAAAAUAUCCUAUAAUAAGGCAGAAAAAUCACAAGAAAAAUAUUUGAAAAUAAUGAUUCCAGAACAAAAUGGCCUAGGCUGUAUUCCAUGGGACACUCCUGUACAGAGUGAUACUAACAAAUAUUUCAGGAAAAGCAAGCGCUGAGGUAAAAAAUAUCUUACAGUUUGGUAAGGAUUAAAAAUGCUUCAUAAGGAAAUAAAUUUAUAAUUAAAAAUGAGAAAAGAUGCAAAAAGAAAUACACAGGAUGCUGUAGAUUUGCUCUACAGAGUCAAAAAUCUAAUUAAAGAAAUAUACAGGAUGCUGUAGAAAACAAUAACAGAGUCAACAAUCUAAUUGCAUAUCAAAGUUAUCACUGUGAAGAAAGGACAUCACUCUGCUUUCAGGUUGUGUCGCUGUGCUCUGACAUUCUCAUGGUUUACUGUUUCAUCUAAGUUCAGAAGUGAAAGGAUGGUGAUAAAAUGGCAGAAAAAAUGCAUAAUAGCAAAGAGAGAGAGAUAGAGAUGUAAUUCAAGGACUCAGAAGAGGCACACAGGUGACCUGUAAUCUAAAUUACCAGUUUCAAUCAAAAGUUGUCAAAACUCUCUGAUAAUAUUGGCAUAAGAUACCUUUAUUAUAUCCAUUUUAAAGCAUCCACCUGUGAAGAAGCCAAUUUUCCUCCCUUAAGUAAGUAUACCAUGAUCAAUUAAGAAUGAGUUUAUUAAAAAGAAACAAACUCAUAAAAUGAAAUGGGAGUUUUUACAACAUAAUGAAGAUAAAAAUGCUAAAAUUAAUUAAGUGGUUAUACGUGAAUUAAAAAGGUUAUAAAAAACAGUAGCAAAUGGCCUUCUAAGGUCUCAGGUUUCUGUAAGUGAAAAGCUUGGACUUUGAGUAUAACAGAAUUAUGGAAUUUUGGUCCCAUCACUCAACAAAUGUAGAAUCUUAAAUGAGUGUCUUAGUCACUCUGUUAUUCAAUUUUACCAUUUCAUUUAUUUUUAAUAGUACUAAUACUGAUAAUAAUAACAACAGUAAUUACACUUUCCUCAUGAACUUUUUUGAGAUUUAGAUGAGAAACUAUAUGAUCAAAUAAAGUAUUCAUUAAGCAAAUAUUCUUUUCCCUUUAUCUGGCAUCCAGACGGAAUUUCUCAGUGCUAAUUCAUUUUGAUAUUUUGAAGAGGAUUUUGUUGUGAUGAACUCAACAGGCAGACUGGAAUAGUUAAAGAAAAUGUCAAUCUCCUAUGAAAAAAUGUUAUACAUAUAAUAUCUGAAGUUAUUUGAUUUGAAAAGCAAAACAGAAAAUAUUUGUCAUAUUUAUAGUUUAGAUACGGAGUGAGUUUGAGGAUAAAGCACUUUAUGAAGCCUAGGUAAUUUUACACUGAUUAUCGUAACUUAGUGAGAAGAACUUUUGAUUUAUUAUACCUGUCUCCCUAAGUAAGAUAAAAUGUUUGAACAAAAAGUAAUUUUCAUCUUCAAGCCUAGAACUGGGUUUAGGGGAAAACAGCCAGUUAGAGAUAAGCCUCUUGUGAUGUAAGGAGCUGCAGGGAAAAGGAUCAGUUAACAGAACUCUUCAUAUUUUGCUAGAGGAGUGCUGGUGAAUUUAUAGAAGUGGGACAAGGGCAAGUUCUGUAAAAGGUCUUCACUCUUGCCAUGGACUGUACUGAAUAACAAAUCUAUUCAUUUAAAUUGAGAUUACACCCUGUUACUUUGGAUCUUCUUGGGGGAAAAAUAAAAACAAUUUAUGUCUAUGACAUAAUAAAGCAUAACUAUUACAGCAUCCACAGAAGUCAAAUCCAUCCUGAAAGAAAGGAUAGAUGGCUAGUCUAUAAAAUGUAUUUUUAUGCAAUAAUGAGUGAAGGAGAAACAGGUACAGAUAAUUAAUGCCAUUGACUUAUCUGAUCACCUUAAGAUAAAUAAAAUUCUAAUUCUUUAUGUUUACAUGUCUGCCAUGAAGACUUAACUGAUUCAUCUUAUUGGACUGAGAAUAUUUUUACAUGAUGUAAGCUAGUCGUCUGGGAGAGACAGUUUUCAAAUAAAGCAAUCAAAUUUAUGUCUGCUAGGUUUGGCUGUGUCCCCGACCAAAUCUCAUCUUGAAUUGUAAUUCCCGUAAUUCCCACGUGUCAUGGAAGGGACUCAGUGGAAGAUCGUUGAUUGUGGGGGCGGUUACCCUCAUGCUGUUCUUCUGACAGUGAGUGAAUUCUCCCCAGAGAAGAUGGUUUUAUAAGGGACUUUUCGUCUUGUUGCUCAGCACUUCUUCUUGCUGCUGCCGUGUGAAGAACGAUGUGUUUGCUUCCCCUUCUGUCAUGAUUCCACUGAAGACAUGCUUGCUUUCCCCUUCGCCUUCCGCUGUGAUUCAACGUUUCCUGAGGCCUCCCAGUCAUGCUUUCUGUACAGCUUGUGGAACUGUA
Cercocebus atys (sooty mangabey) is the source of this 2469-nucleotide long non-coding RNA. RefSeq lists it as uncharacterized. The transcript is spliced from 6 exons. The record is from RefSeq and is a predicted model, not a curated record. NCBI's taxonomy places the organism in Eukaryota, Metazoa, Chordata, Mammalia, Primates, Cercopithecidae.